RNAcentral lists this ribosomal RNA (380 nucleotides) under uncultured soil bacterium. Its description in RNAcentral is "bacterial SSU rRNA". It matches the Rfam family "Bacterial small subunit ribosomal RNA", at positions 26 to 398 of the family's 1533-position model. The record is from RNAcentral.
AGAUUGAACGCUGGCGGCAGGCCUAACACAUGCAAGUCGAGCGGUAGAGAGGUGCUUGCAUCUCUUGAGAGCGGCGGACGGGUGAGUAAUGCCUAGGAAUCUGCCUAGUGGGUGGGGGAUAACGGUUCGGAAACGGACGCUAAUACCGCAUACGUCCUACGGGAGAAGGCGGGGACCUUCGGGCCUCGCGCCAUUAGAUGAGCCUAGGUCGGAUUAGCUAGUUGGUGAGGUAAUGGCUCACCAAGGCGACGAUCCGUAACUGGUCUGAGAGGAUGAUCAGUCACACUGGAACUGAGACACGGUCCAGACUCCGUACGGGAGGCAGGCAGGUCGGGUAAUAGUUGGACAAGUGGGGACGAAAGUCCGUUAUACCCGAGACC